UCGAACGGUAACAGGAAGAAGCUUGCUUCUUUGCUGACGAGUGGCGGACGGGUGAGUAAUGUCUGGGAAACUGCCUGAUGGAGGGGGAUAACUACUGGAAACGGUAGCUAAUACCGCAUAACGUCGCAAGACCAAAGAGGGGGACCUUCGGGCCUCUUGCCAUCGGAUGUGCCCAGAUGGGAUUAGCUAGUAGGUGGGGUAACGGCUCACCUAGGCGACGAUCCCUAGCUGGUCUGAGAGGAUGACCAGCCACACUGGAACUGAGACACGGUCCAGACUCCUACGGGAGGCAGCAGUGGGGAAUAUUGCACAAUGGGCGCAAGCCUGAUGCAGCCAUGCCGCGUGUAUGAAGAAGGCCUUCGGGUUGUAAAGUACUUUCAGCGGGGAGGAAGGGAGUAAAGUUAAUACCUUUACUCAUUGACGUUACCCGCAGAAGAAGCACCGGCUAACUCCGUGCCAGCAGCCGCGGUAAUACGGAGGGUGCAAGCGUUAAUCGGAAUUACUGGGCGUAAAGCGCACGCAGGCGGUUUGUUAAGUCAGAUGUGAAAUCCCCGGGCUCAACCUGGGAACUGCAUCUGAUACUGGCAAGCUUGAGUCUCGUAGAGGGGGGUAGAAUUCCAGGUGUAGCGGUGAAAUGCGUAGAGAUCUGGAGGAAUACCGGUGGCGAAGGCGGCCCCCUGGACGAAGACUGACGCUCAGGUGCGAAAGCGUGAGGAGCAAACAGGAUUAGAUACCCUGGUAGUCCACGCCGUAAACGAUGUCGACUUG
RNAcentral lists this ribosomal RNA (768 nucleotides) under uncultured bacterium. RNAcentral describes it as "bacterial SSU rRNA". It matches the Rfam family "Bacterial small subunit ribosomal RNA", at positions 62 to 819 of the family's 1533-position model. The record is from RNAcentral.